AGUUCGGAUUGCAGCCUGCAACUCGGCUGCAUGAAGCUGGAAUCGCUAGUAAUCGCAGAUCAGAAUGCCGCGGUGAAUACGUUCCCGGGCCUUGUACACACCGCCCGUCACACCAUGGGAGUCGGUAACACCCGAAGCCUGUAGUCUAACCGCAAGGAGGACGCAGUCGAAGGUGGGAUUGAUGACUGGGGUGAAGUCGUAACAAGGUAGC
This 211-nucleotide ribosomal RNA is filed under the name uncultured bacterium. RNAcentral describes it as "partial 16S ribosomal RNA". It matches the Rfam family "Bacterial small subunit ribosomal RNA", at positions 1290 to 1500 of the family's 1533-position model. The record is from RNAcentral.